CUUAGUUCAGAUAAAAGCCAGGUUCUUGCCACAUGGCCAUGAUUAGGCUCGCAGACAUUUUGAAGAGUGAGAAAAAUGGAAUUUAUUGGGCAAAAAGGAAAAAAAGAGAAACAGGGACUCUCAGCAAAGCGAGAGUCCCCGCUAGCUGGUCUCCCCCUCACAGAUUGAAUCCUGGAUUCCACCUGAAACAGAAGAGGCCAGUCUCCUCCCCGCUGCAAAGGGCGUGAACUCCGUGGCUCCAGCCCAUUUUCCCAGUGCCCGCACAGUGGUUGGAGUUUCUCCGGGGACCGCUUUAUACUUGACUGUCUCAUUGCCAUGGCAUUUGUCAACUGUCGUGCUGCUGGUGGGAGUGUCUUUUAGUGUGCUAAUGUAUUAUUAUUAGUGUAUAAUGAGCCAUGAGGAUGACCAGAGGUCACUCUUGUCACCAUCUUGGUUUCGGUGGGAUUUGGCCGGCUUCUUUACUGCAUGCCAUUUUAUCCGCAAGGUCUUUAUAACCUGUAUCUUGUGCCGACCUCCUGUCUCAUCCUGUGACUAAGAAUGCCUAGCCUCCUGGGAAUGCCACCCAGUAGGUCUCAGCCUUAUUUUACCCAGCGGCUACUCAAGAUGGUUCAAAUGCCUCUGACAGUGGGAUGGAGCAGGUUCUCCCUUUGUAAGGGCCUGAGGGCCCAUGAAGCAUGGAAGUAAAGACAAAUCUUGAGUUCCUUCAAAGAAAAUUCCAGGCACCUGGAUGGCCACGAGAAGUCAAUGAGCAACUCGCUUGUAGGUUAAAUGCUGCUAAGUGGAGAGAGAGUCUGAUGUGGAGCUUGGAAGAAGCCUUUGCAAUGUCACCUCGGGAUUCCCUGGGGCCAAUCAUUUAAGGCACUGGUCAUAUUCCUUCCAGGACUUGGAGAGGGGAGAUGUGUUAAAUGAAGAAUUGUCAUCACUAAUAUGCUUUGAGUUGAUUGACCUUCAUGUCAUAGAAUAAAUGUUCAACUUUGCAUCACGUCAAUGUUUGCCUCCUUCCCACCUGGAGAGAACCUAGUAAGAAAGAACUUGAGUAGCAAUAGUAAACAAUAAAUAUUGGGUCAUCACAUAACCCAUGUUAGUCUCACCCAGAUGCAAAACAUAGCUAAAAACAGUAGAAAAUGGCAACAAACAGUCUUAGAAAAAUACAGACCCUCUAGUGACUGUUUUUGUUUGAUGGCUGACAUUGGUCUAAAGAAAUUUCAAGAGAGCUGAAGGGUGGCAUCCUGUUUUAUUUCUUCAAUCCUUGGAAGAGCUCCCUUGCAUUGAGAAUGCACACAUUUGCAUUUCAAAGCAAGUGGGGUUUGGGUAAACAGUCUUAGAAGUCAAAGCAACCAUCUCCUAGAAGCAAGCUGUAUAUCAGGUAGAGAAAGAAGAGAUGAAAAAGGGCCAUGACUAUGCCCAUUUCAGUCAUCUGCUUGGGAUCCUGCCACAUGGCAGAGUUUGGUGGACACAGCACUUCUCUGCUCCCUGGGACAUAAGCAGAAACAUCUUUGGCAUGACUGAAGCAUUCUACUCCCAAGAUGGCCCCAUGCAUUGGCCUGGCAGAGGAAUGCUGUCUGAAGGCCAGGAGCUCAGUAUGGCUAUUGACUGGCCUGGCCUCAAUUCUCCUCCACAGGGAUCGUUCAGGCUUCUUACAAUAUGGCUGUCUCAAGGUAGUUAGAGGGUGACUUACCCCAUGUCACAAAAGCAGAAGCUUUCAGUUCUUCUUAGACCUGGGGUGAGUGCAGCCACCCUCUGCCAUAUAGUGUUGGAUAAAGCAUAUCCCAGGGCUACUCUGGUUCAACAGAAAGGUAUACACAAGGGUGUAAAUGCCAGAGGUCAAGGUUUUUUGGGGGUUACCCAAGUGGAGUCAACCUUCAUUAUUUGCAGAUGCUCUCUUUGCAAAUUCAGCUACUUGCUCUAAUUUCUUUGUAACCCCAAAUUAAUACUCAUUGCACUUUCGUGAACAUUUAAAGCAAUAAAUAAUUUGAGUCACC
Molecule: long non-coding RNA, 1982 nt
Filed under: Homo sapiens (human)
Lineage: Eukaryota; Metazoa; Chordata; Mammalia; Primates; Hominidae
Description: HSALNT0279766
Source: RNAcentral